UAUCUACCCUUCAAAUAUUGGCUUCCCUCGGAGAACAGUUGGGAAAUGAAGAUGUUAGUGGUUGCUCUAAUCAACUAUGCAAUAGCAAGAACAAACAACUGAACGUGAACUCAAAACCCAUCCCAACCCAAAUUACAAUACAUGUGCUAGAAAUAUUCGUCUCUUAUUGGGUUAUACGGCAAUUGUGAUAUUUGUUUUGAUUAAUGUUCUCAUCUACGGUGUGUUACUUUUGAGUUUAUGGGUCUACAUGGUUAUACGAGUAGC
RNAcentral lists this unclassified non-coding RNA (264 nucleotides) under Hevea brasiliensis (rubber tree). The record is from RNAcentral. Lineage: Eukaryota; Viridiplantae; Streptophyta; Magnoliopsida; Malpighiales; Euphorbiaceae.